Molecule: ribosomal RNA, 912 nt
Filed under: uncultured candidate division MSBL6 bacterium
Lineage: Bacteria
Description: bacterial SSU rRNA
Rfam family: Bacterial small subunit ribosomal RNA
Source: RNAcentral
AGAGUUUGAUCAUGGCUCAGGAUGAACGCUAGCGGUGCGCCUAACACAUGCAAGUCGCGCGAUCGAACCGAACCAAUUACCCUUCGGGGUAAGCGGAUCGGCAACGGAGCGGCGGACUGGUGAGUAACACGUGGCUAACCUACCCUCUUGACGAGAAUAACCCUUCGAAAGGAUGGCUAAUACUCGAUGUUGUUUAAGUUCGAUGGAUCCUAAACCAAAGGCGGUUCUGCCGUCGCAAGAGGAGGGGGCUGCGCCCUAUUAGCUUGUUGGUGAGGUAACGGCUCACCAAGGCAAUGAUGGGUAGCUGGUCUGAGAAGAUGAUCAGCCUCAUUGGGACUGAAAUACGGCCCAGACUCCUACGGGAGGCAGCAGUGGGGAAUCUUUCGCAAUGGACGAAAGUCUGACGGAGCGACACCGCGUGAGGGAUGAAUGCUUUCGAGUUGUAAACCUCUUUUCUGGGGGAAGAAUAAGGUCGCGAGGAAAUGCGCGUCCGAUGACGGUACCUCAGGAAUAAGCAUCGGCUAACUUCGUGCCAGCAGCCGCGGUAAUACGAAGGAUGCAAGCGUUAUCCGGAAUUACUGGGCGUAAAGGGCGUCUAGGCGGUUGAGCAAGUCACCUGUAAAAGUCCACGGCUUAACUGUGGAAUGUCUGGUGAUACUGUUUGACUUGGGUACAGGAGAGGAGGGUGGAACUCACAGAGUAGCGGUGGAAUGCGUAGAUACUGUGAGGUACCCCGAUGGCGAAGGCAACCCUCUGGCCUGUUACCGACGCUGAAGCGCGAAAGCGUGGGGAGCGAAGGGGAUUAGAUACCCCCGUAGUCCACGCCGCAAACGAUGUUCACUGGGUGUCGGUCAUUAAUUAGAUCGGUGCCGGAGUUAACGCAUUAAGUGAACCGCCUGGGGACUACGGCCG